AAGCGUUCAUGACCAGACUUGGGCAGGUUGAUCAUCCGUGGUUCUCCGCGGUGCACUCUGCCUGCCCAGGCCAGCAUCAGUUCGCUGUGGGGGAUAAAGGCUUUGGGAAUGUGGCUCCUCCGGGAGUGUUAUAGCCCAUUGUGUAAUACCCUGUGGUGGACUGAGGUUCGCGCAUCUGCAAGGAUGCUGGCGUAAUGGUCAUCAGCGA
This 208-nucleotide ribosomal RNA is filed under the name Ilyonectria sp. RNAcentral's name for it is "partial large subunit ribosomal RNA". Lineage: Eukaryota; Fungi; Ascomycota; Sordariomycetes; Hypocreales; Nectriaceae. The record is from RNAcentral.